AGGCUUGAACCCAGACGUGAUUAUGGCCUUGGCAUUGCUCUUGUGCGUCCCGUGAAACAUGGUGUAGCCUCGCCCCCUCUUCGGUGCCUGGCCCGGCUUCAGCCGCCGCUUUCCAUCGAACAGCGUUUCCCAGCCAUUGAACAGCGCGGACGACAGCGCCCAGCUCUGCGCGACGUGGAGGACGAGCAGAGAGGCCACGAGCCAGGGGCAGCUGUGCAGGAACAGGCUGAUGGCGGAGCACUCCAGCAUUUUACCUGCAAGCCUCGCUGUAAUCGUUUCCUGUGACCAUUUCAGAAGAGAUCGUGACCCGGAAGUCGCAGAACAACAGGAUCGGCUGGAGGAUUUGUAUCCAAAUGUCCACUCAACAUGAUUAUCUAAUUUAAAAAAAAGAAAGAUCCGCUGUGAUCCAAGACAAUCAACUUGCAUUUAGAGUUUGCCAAGUACCGUCACAUUGCAAGCCGAAGGGACAGUGAGGAAUUCCCUGUAUAUGUGGACGCCAAGGUCACUGAACAAAGACAGUGUUAUUUGACGCUUGGACGCUGGUCUAAUUUCUCUCCACUAUCCUGUCUCGUCAAUUGUAAAUAUUCUGAAGGAAAUGAAACUGACUGGAAGGGGAAGGUUUCCAUUGUUAUUUUUCUGACCAUGUUGUUCCUGGGUCUGUCCUUCAUUUACUUCACUUUUCUUUUUUUUUUUACUUGGGGCUUUUCUCAUUUUUUCAGGGGGGGAGAGGUGAGGUAAGCAGGGGAGAGGGUUUACAAUAAAACCCUGGAUGUUGUAUUAAUCCAGAAAGACCUCAGUUUUACUCCCUCAGCCCUGGAGAGUAUGACAUCAAAGACUCGCUUGAUAAUCCCCUCAACCCUCUGGAGGUAAACUAGGCCAGACUGUCGAUACCUUUACAGCUGUACGGGAAUGGGGCGGGGGGGGGGGGGGUGGCUGUUUCUAGCCCGACAGGGCCAGAGCGACAGUAGGAUUAGAACAAAGUAAUCCGCUCGCGCAGGAGAUAGCAAACCGCUAGGUGCUAGCGGUUCAGAGGAUAAACAAUGUAGUGUUUAUCAGCGGUUCAGAAGACAAACGUGCUGCGUGCGGUGAUGUGUUGGAAGCCUUCAUGUUUGAAAGCAGUGGAUGAGUGUCAUAUUGUGCGUUUGUUCUGUGUGAGUUCAUAUUGACUGCGUCAGUGUAGUUAAAUGAAAACAAGUGAACUUCAAAGAAGCAGAUAAUUUCGUGUUUUUUUUUGUUGUAAUGAUGCUGAACUUGCCCUUAAUGUUGAAAUGGCGAUUGAGUUCAAUCUCUUUUAUUAUUAUUUACCUGGUUAAAAUGUCAAAAUCUGCAUUCACGUGAGCUGUAACUAUGGUUUAAAAAAAUAAUAGUAAAAUAAAAAAACCU
This is a long non-coding RNA of Anguilla rostrata (American eel), 1383 nucleotides long. RefSeq lists it as uncharacterized. The transcript has 4 exons. Lineage: Eukaryota; Metazoa; Chordata; Actinopteri; Anguilliformes; Anguillidae. The record is from RefSeq and is a predicted model, not a curated record.